RNAcentral lists this long non-coding RNA (6890 nucleotides) under Triticum aestivum (bread wheat). RNAcentral describes it as "long non-coding RNA (TAES_LNC026419)". Lineage: Eukaryota; Viridiplantae; Streptophyta; Magnoliopsida; Poales; Poaceae. The record is from RNAcentral.
AACACAUCACAGGUCGUUCAAACUUGACCCAUCCAAAUCACUCUCAAAUUAACAAAUUUCUCACAGGACUAAGAAACCACCAAGAUAACUGAUAAGUUUUUUGCUUAAUGACUUCCUCGUUUGGAGAUAAACCACAUAACUUUUGCUCCCAGAGUUCAAGGCCAGCGUAGCAGCAGCAUGCUUCACGCUAACAUUUCUCACAGCGAAUGAUGUAUAUCUUCAAAGUUCAACACAUAAAUCCCAUGAAAAAUAAAGAUGUUCACUCAAAUCAACCUUAGAAACACAUAAUAAAAUUUUCAAACUCAAACCGUCCAAAUUACUCUGAAAUUAACAAAGUACUGGUAGAAGUAAUAAAAUACUAAGAUAAUAGCAGAUAAGUUUCUUGCUCUACGACUCCCUCGUUCAAGAUAUGCCACAUCCCAACGUACAUAGUUUUCCACCACCAGGGUUCAUGAUCACCACCAGGGUUCAUGAUCACCAAAGCAGAAGCAUGCAAUACAUGCUUCAGGCUAACAUUCCUCACGGCGAAUAAUAUGGAUCACCAUAGUCAGAGGCUCCUUGUUCUUUAUCAGCUUGAAGAGACAGAGGUCCCCCUCCCUCAGGCGGUUGUCGCGGGCGAAAAACGUCCAUCCUUUGAGAACCUUCACCACAUGAGUUGUGUGUUGCAUGUUGUGUUUCAAAUUGGUUGGCCAUGAUCUGCUCUUCUCCUCCCGCUGAAGCACCAAACUGAUCACACUACUCUUUCCACGAUGAUAGCCAGCAGCAGACUUCUGAACAAGAUAUCUGCUUGAGUAUUGCGAGCCAAAGCGCUGUUUAUACAGAUAAGGCAGGGCAAAAGUUAGAAUGUCACAAAUAUAGAGAUACAUGGAGAUUUUUUCCCAUCUGUACAGUACUGAUAGGCAGCGACAGAAAAUGUUAUCCAUGAACUUACUAGGGUGGGGGUGUUAUAGGAACCACCCCGACAGACAUUGGACUUGCGCAUGAUAGCAACAUACAAGGGCAGUUCUGACUCGAUUUCCUCGACUUUCUCCAAGACUUUCUUCUCUUGUGCCCAUGUUAGGCAAGCUUUGUCUGCCAGCAUGAAGGGAGGUUCAGAACCUCCCUCAGAAUCAUCAGAGACUUCAUGUUCCUCAUGUUCCGAAGAGUACUCUUCACCUGGACAAGUUGUCACAUGAAUCAGAGAAGUAUAAUGCGAAAUGAAAUGUGACACAUGCAUCCUAGCAGUGGCAAGACAUAGUGUCAAGCUGACAUACCAUCGGUAGGUGGUUCCUCCACAUCACCUGCCUUUUUUGUGCUUGUCCUUCCAUGAUUUGAGCCAAUGCCAGUUCUUGCACCAGGGGAAUGAUUAAUGCUCGUUUUGCUAAGGAGAUGGACAGUCAUUGUGAAUCUUUUCUGCUUGACAUUUGUCAUUGGUUGAAAGAGGCAGAUAUCGCCUUCUCUGACAGGAUUGUCACGGACAAAGUUCCCUAAAUAAAGGUUGCGCCGACCAGCAUCAGACGUUCUAGAUGGCCUGUUAUAGAGUUUGCACUUCCAAACCUUGUUUUUCCUAGGCAGCUGGAGUAUGAUAGUGAUACUCCAGCAUGGCAAGUGCUCGAGUGCGUAAUCCUUACAUAUUGCCUAGUUGAAAAAGUUAUAGAAAGUGAUAGUGAUACUGUUGAGCUGUUUCAUCUCAUAGCCCAAGUACUAAAUAGAUAAGACAUUAGGACUACCAGAAAGUCUAAAUCGUUCCAAUACGCAUGGUUUCAACUGAUAAGGCAACAAUAAUACUGAUUUAGUUCUGAACUUUGUGUAUAUCCAUGGUUUCAACUGUGUGCAUAUAUUCAUUUUGUGCAAACAUCUAUAGAGUAAGGCCAUAAAUAGAAAACAAAUUGUACAUGGCUACAGAAAGUGAGCAGUUUAUACAAAAUGUGAUGGUAAAGCUUACGUACCAGAGUAUGGCUAUUGUUUACAAUGCUCUUCUUCAUCUGGACAACAAGCACCGGGAUUUCAGGUCGAAUUUUCUUUACAAGUCCAAGCAUUUUUACCUCCUGUGCUUCUGUAAGAUAGCACUGCCCUGACAAGACAUAAUACUUUGAAAGCUUCUGUCGAUCUGACUCCAAAGAAUUGUCUUCUGCUGUAAAAAAAAUCCAACCGUAAGAGAACAUGUGGUGGAGAGUAACUGAAUAAUCUGAGGACACUACUUAACCUGAGAAUUCCUCAGAAGAAUUACACAUUGCAGGCAUCUUUGCUGAUUUUCUGUAACAGUACGAGCUUUCCUUCUGGCUUCCAUCUGAAUCUGAACAUUCAUCUGCUGAUGACUGAGUAGUACCAUCAUGAGAACUGCUCGAAUUAUCAACAUAGCGACUGCUUGGUUCAUUAACAUCAGAGGCUGCUUUCACCCGGCACAGCAUAAGACUUUCUCCUUACCAUUGGAAUCAAAUAUUAUAACCUCAAAGAGGGCGUUUCCAAGGUACCGAAACAUCAAGGUAUAAUUUUCUUCUAUUUGAUUGGCAUCAACAAAUGAUGCCCAACCAGAUUUCAGCAUUGUUCGAUUCAUAUUCUCAGUAACUGCAACAUCAUAUAUGUUACCAUUGGGGGUUUGUAGUUUGAUGGAUCUCGAGAUCUUCCCUCCAAACUGAUUCACAAACCACUUAGGCAUGACCUGUAACAAGCAGUAAUUGUUUCAAUGCAACGAAAAAACUCUAAAAACAUCAGGCAACCACUGAAGUAGGGAAGUUAGAAAAGGCUUACCAAGCUAUGCAUAAAAUUUCCGUUUAUUUUUCUGAUGAACCUUAUCUUCCUCUCACAGUAUUCGCAAGGGUUGCUCAUCUUGGAUCCUGUAAUAUGAAUCACAUACAAUGCAAAGUUUUAAAUAGUCGGCUAUAGUGGUUUGAGCAGGGUGCCUCUAAAUGGUAUUCAUGUACAAUUGUCCGACAAAGUUGCAAAAUGGUGGGCUAUAGCACCGCUAUAGCUAUUUGAGCAGGGUGCCGCUAUUUAAAACUAUGGUACUAUUCAAAUUUCAGUUUGCGUAACUAGUACUACCCUAAAAUCAGUUAAGAUUGAUAACUAUGUCCUAAACUCUUUUGAGGGUAAGGUGAGUCUUUCUUUGUUUAAAUAUAUAACAGAAGCAACAAAAUGCUGUGAACACUACAUAACUAAUGCUGGCCUUAGAAUCUGUUUUGAUUCUUGUGUAAAAAGAAAGCAAAAGAACAAGAAAAUAAAAUUAGAAAUACUGAUGUUCUACGAAGGUGUGCUAGUAUAAGAAAAGACAUGAUUAUACUGCAAACAAGAGGUCAACUUGGCAGAAGAAGCACUGAUGCAUGCAAUAAUUUUCUGACUGGGUCUAUUGAUCACUACGAUUCGUUUCUGAUGUUGCAUGUGCAGAUCUAAAUAAGUCACAGAUAUGACUUAGAGGAACUAAAAGACUGAUGGUUAACAACCAUAGAACAAUCAGUUUCUGAAAUUCCUAUGAGUGUACAACAUGACUGUUUUAUACUACAUUCCUAUCAGUUUUCGAAAUUUAGCACAAAUACAAGGGAAGCCGAAUAACAAAAGGACAGACCCUGUGCAUAGAAGCUCCCACACAAGGUGGGAUUUGGGGAGGGGUUAUAGGAACCUACUCUUACCCCUGCAAAGUUCAAUGCAGAGAGGCUGGUUCAAACCCAGAACCUCUUGGCACAGGCCGAAUAACAAAGGAAAAAAUACUGCUGCUCUAUGAAGGUGUGGAAGUAGAACAUGCGUGACUAAAUUGUAAACAAAGAAAUCUUUCUGAUGCAUGCAAUAGUUUUCUAGGUGGAUGUAGUGAUUACUAUGCUCCGUUUGUGAUGCUACUAGGGGGACAAAUGCAGAUCUAAAUCAAUAACUGAUAUCUCUUUAAAAGGGAAAAAAAUUACUGAUGGUUAACAACCAUAGAACAAUCAGCUUCUGAAAUUCCUACAUAGUAUAACAAGAUUCCUAACCCCGCAAAAAAACAAACAAGAUUCCUACCAAGUUCUGACAAUGAGCUAAAACAAAAAGGAAAGCAAAACAACAAUUUUUUUAAAAAAAAUACAGCUGCUCCAUUGAGGUGUAGAAGAAGAAAAAACGUGACUAAAUUGCAAACAAAGAGAGCAACUUGGAAGAAGAAGCUUACCGUUGUGAUGAAGGCUGCUGCGCUGUACUAGGGAAUACUACAGUCUGGGCUUACUUAUGAAGGGGGGCGUCCAGGCACUGCAAGGGCACACACAGGUCAAAAGUCAUUUAUGAAGGGAGCUGUAUGCAGUCUUGUCAUAUUUCCAAGACAUAAAUCUGAGUAGUACUACUAUCGAGUAGAUUAAUGUCAUGCUCACCCUCCUUAAUUACCGUGAUUUGACAAAAAACUAGAGAGGCUAUUUCCCAACAGUACUACUGAAAUCAAACUAUCAAAGAGGCAACACUGCAUGCAAACUUCUCAUAUUCCCCAAAAAUCAGUUUCCCUAUAGCCGCUUUCUCAAAACUCAAAGUAGUUUGCCCACGCGUGGAAAAUUUGCAAAAAAAUAUUUCUUGCCUGUUUCUUGAUAAUGCUACUUUCACAUCAGAGCUUGAGCCUUAAUGCCAUAUACUCAGAUUGAUUGGAUAUUGCAGGUGUCUUCUAAGUUCUAACCCAUGUCAGAUUUUUUUUUCCAAAAAGGAGAUUAUACCGCUGGCCUCCACCGUUUAUUCAUUUAUUCUAACUCAUUCAGAAGAUGUGUCUAGCUUUAGGUCCAAAUUAUGCAAUUUCAAAACUAUUUCAUUGUACAUAGCUUUGACAUGUUUAAUUAAAGCGGAUGUGCACAGUAUGCACAAAAUGGUGCAUCCAUUGAUGAGUUCAUCUGAAUUAUAAAUUCUGAAUAGUACUGCCUGUAUGAACCGGAAAGCAGCAUGGUGGGAACCAAUUUCAGAAGUUCAUAGCCCGUUAGGCUAAUAAAAAUCACUGUGGGCAAAGUACUAACAAUAGAUGGGAAACUGAAGAGAUUCUCAUGAUAAAAUAGGGGUAACAGAGCCAAGACUUCACCAAUGGCUAUAUAUAAUCCGGUGUCCAACUGAUUAACUAAUGAAAAGAACAUACAACAUAUAUCAACAUAGAUGCUCAAACAGGUCAAAGAAAACAAGAGGCUCAAUUACAACAGGGGAAGAUAUUAUAGUUUCUCAUAUUCUGACAAGUUAACCCAAUCUUAUUACCGAUUAAAACUGUGACAAUUACUAGCUAAUAUUGUACUAGAACCAAUGAGGAAUGUCUAAUCACAAACUCUGGCCACUGGGUCUGGGCGCCAUUGCAGAUUAGCUAGUAUGUUUGGACCUUGAGGGCGGCUUGAAGACGCAAAGGCGGAUGCCGAGCACGACUCUCCAUGAUGGUCGCACCUCCAUCCUUCGCCCUCCCCGCCUGCCAUCCUCACGCAACCGAAUCAUCGCCUAUUUUGAAGCAAAAUAUUUCUUGCCUAUUUUCUUGAUAUUGGUGCUACUUUCACAUCAGAGCUUGAACCGGAAAAUGCCAUGCCAUAUACUCAGAUUCAAAGGAGAUUGUGUCUUCUAACCUAUGUUGGAUUUUUUUCUCUGAAAUGAAAAGGAGAUUAAACCGCUGGCCUCUGCAUAAAUCAAUGCAAACCGUUUGUUCAUUUAUUCUAACCCAUUCAGAAGAUGUGUGUAGCUUUAGGUCCAUAUUAAGCAAUUUCAAAAUUAUUUCAUUGUAUAGCUUUGACAUGUUUCAUUGGUGCCAUGAGUACUGAAUAAAUUAAAACGGCUGUAUCCAUUGAUCAGGUCACGUGAAUUCCAAAUUCUAAAUACUGCGUGUAGUAACCAGAAAGUAGCAAGGACCACUUUCAGAAGUUUAUACCCACUAAGUUAGUAAAAAUCACUGUGGACAAAGUGCUAACAAUAGAUGGGAAACCAAAGAUAUUCUCACGAUGCAAUACGGUAACACAACCAAGACAUUACCAACAGCUAUAAUCCAGCGUCCAACUGACUAACUGAACAUGAUAUCAAUGUGGACUCUCACAUAACAGAGAAAAAUAUUAUAGCUUCUCAUAUUCUCACAUGUUAACCAAAUCCCAUUAUCGGCUAAAACAAUGGCAAGUAGUACUAGAUAAUAAUAAUGUAAUAGAGUCAGUGUGUAAUUUCUAAUCACAUACUCUGGCUACUGGGUCUGGGUGUCAUUGCAGAUUAGCUAGUAUGUUGGACAAAAUCCCAUUAUCGCCGGCAGGAGUUGCAGAACAGUUUGAACAACCAUUAUGCACUGCCUCAAAUUCUGUGAGAACCCACAAGCAAAAACAGUGCCCUCAAACAAGAGCAAGUUAGCAACAAAUCACAGGUUGUUCAAACUUGACCCAUCCAAAUUACUCUCAAAUUAACAAAGUCUCACAGAACUAAGAAACCCAACAAGAUAAUCGUCCAAUGAUAUAGAUUAGAGUUUCAUGCUCAACGACUCCCUUGUUUUGGAGACGAGCCACACAGUUUUCCACUCCCAGACUGACCCAAAGUUCAACAUUGUUGUAGGAGCAGCAGAAUCAAGACAUGCUUCAGGAUAACAUUUCUAGCGGCGGACGAUGUAAACCCACAUUGUCAGAAGCUCCUCACACUUCAGCAGCUUGAAGAGGCAGAGGUCCCCCUCCCGCAGGUGGUUGUCGCGGGCGAAAGAUGGCCAUCCUUUGAGAACCCUCGAGCCUUGCGAGCUAUGCCGCAGCUUGGUAGGCCAUGACCUACUCUUGCCCUCCCGCAGAAGCACCAACUCGACUCCUCUACGUUUUCCACAAGGAUGGCCACCAGAAAACUUCUCAACAAGAUACCUGGUUGCGUACUGCGAGCCAAAGCGCUGUUCAUAUACAUAACAGAGGGCAAAUGUUAGAAUGACACAGAUGCAGACAUACGUGGCAAAUUUAUUCCUAUUUAUCUUAUCAUUUUACCAAAGGAUACGGAUG